Molecule: ribosomal RNA, 810 nt
Filed under: uncultured Bacillota bacterium
Lineage: Bacteria; Bacillati; Bacillota
Description: bacterial SSU rRNA
Rfam family: Bacterial small subunit ribosomal RNA
Source: RNAcentral
AAAGUGGAGCAAUCCAUGAGUAAAGUGGCGACCGGGUGAGUAACACGUGACUAACCUACCUCCGAGUGGGGAAUAACUCCGGGAAACCGGGGCUAAUACCGCAUAACAUCGCAAGAUCAAAGCAGCAAUGCGCUUGGAGAGGGGGUCGCGGCUGAUUAGCUAGUUGGCGGGGUAACGGCCCACCAAGGCGAAGAUCGGUUUCCGGCCUGAGAGGGCGCACGGACACACUGGAACUGAAACACGGUCCAGACUCCUACGGGAGGCAGCAGUGGGGAAUUUUGCGCAAUGGGGGAAACCCUGACGCAGCAACGCCGCGUGGAGGAUGAAGCCCUUUGGGGCGUAAACUCCUUUCGACCAAGACGAUAAUGACGGUACUGGUGGAAGAAGCACCGGCUAACUCUGUGCCAGCAGCCGCGGUAAUACAGAGGGUGCGAGCGUUGUUCGGAAUUAUUGGGCGUAAAGGGCGCGUAGGCGGUGCCACAAGUCACUUGUGAAAUCUCCGGGCUUAACUCGGAGCCUGCAGGCGAAACUGUGGUGCUGGAGUGUGGGAGAGGUGCGUGGAAUUCCCGGUGUAGCGGUGAAAUGCGUAGAUAUCGGGAGGAACACCUGUGGCGAAAGCGGCGCACUGGACCAUAACUGACGCUGAGGCGCGAAAGCUAGGGGAGCAAACAGGAUUAGAUACCCUGGUAGUCCUAGCCCUAAACGAUGAUUGCUUGGUGUAGCAGGUACCCAAUCCUGCUGUGCCGCAGCUAACGCGAUAAGCAUCCGCCUGGGGAGUACGGUCGCAAGGCUGAAACUCAAGGAAUUGAC